UGAGCAAUCUGCCCUUCUCAUCGGAAUAAGCGUUGGAAACGACGUCUAAUGCCGAAUACGACCUCCUUUCGCAUGAUCGGAGGUGGAAAGCUCCGGCGGAGAAGGAUGAGCUCGCGGCCUAUCAGCUAGUUGGUGAGGUAAUAGCUCACCAAGGCGACGACGGGUAGCCGGCCUGAGAGGGUGACCGGCCACACUGGGACUGAGACACGGCCCAGACUCCUAGGGAGG
Molecule: ribosomal RNA, 228 nt
Filed under: uncultured bacterium
Lineage: Bacteria
Description: partial 16S ribosomal RNA
Rfam family: Bacterial small subunit ribosomal RNA
Source: RNAcentral